AAUGUCUCCCAAUGUCCCUUAGUGUCUCAGUGUCUGCCAUAAUGUCUCCCAAUGUCCCUUAAUGUCUCAGUGUCUGCCAUAAUGUCUCCCAAUGUCCCUUAGUGUCUCAGUGUCUGCCAUAAUGUCUCCCAAUGUCCCUUAGUGUCUCAGUGUCUGCCAUAAUGUCUCCCAAUGUCCCUUAAUGUCUCAGUGUCUGCCAUAUUGUCUCCCAGUGUCCCUUAGUGUCUCAAUGUCUGCCAUAAUGUCUCCCAAUGUCCCUUAGUGUCUCAGUGUCUGCCAUAAUGUCUCCCAGUGUCCCUUAGUGUCUCAGUGUCUGCCAUAAUGUCUCCCAAUGUCC
RNAcentral lists this long non-coding RNA (337 nucleotides) under Pelobates cultripes (western spadefoot toad). Lineage: Eukaryota; Metazoa; Chordata; Amphibia; Anura; Pelobatidae. The record is from RNAcentral.